Molecule: long non-coding RNA, 1236 nt
Filed under: Coturnix japonica (Japanese quail)
Lineage: Eukaryota; Metazoa; Chordata; Aves; Galliformes; Phasianidae
Description: lncRNA (ENSCJPG00005018388.1)
Source: RNAcentral
AUAAAGAAGGCUUUAUUAAAAUAAAAGCAAAAGUUGAUUCUGCUUCUGAAGCAAGAACAAUACAUUGAAAGGGAAAUGUACUGGCUGGUAGAAGCAGCUCUGCUGUUACAUACACAGGACAAUUAGCAAAUGAAAUAGAAAAAUUCUAAUGGCAUUACUGUUCUUAUUUUUCAGAAUGUAUUCUGCCUAUCAGGAAAACUGUCUGAAAGCUGAAGUUUGCUAGCAAUGCCCAAAGGAAAAAAAGGAAAAACCCAAAGGAAUAUUCCGCUUCUCAUGAUAUCUGUUGACCAUAACCUAAAUAGCAGAGGUGAAACUUUCAGUCAGAUUCCUUUAAACCCCUCUGAUAGUACACAGAAGAAUUCAUCAUGAUCUGUCUCCCUGCCAUGGAGUAACUUCUGCCAUACUUCAGUCUCUUCUCACUAACAAAAUCCUUAGAGAUUUUCAAAUCAAUGCCUAUGGAGGUUGUGGGGAAGUACAUCUACAUAAUUUUUCAGUAGUUUCAGUCUCAGAAAUGUCUCCUCUACUUUAAUUUUGACUGGCAGGAAAUAUACUUUCUAUCUGAAUGUUUUACACCUGAUUACUGCUCAUCUUGCCAAACUGUGCCAUAAUUUUAAUUGGUGUAUGAUUACCAGAUAAAGCUGGAAUGGUCCUAUUGUCCUCUGAGUGGAAUGUAUUGUUGCAAGGUCUGCUUCUUCCAUGGCCCAAGAGGUAUUUCUUUGCCUGAACAGAGUUUCACAACUCUGGGACUUGUUUGGAGCUCUCAGUCUUGUAGAAAGCCGUUAAUAAUCUGGGGAUUUUAGUGAGGAUGGGGAAAAAAGGAUACAGCAAUUUGUUCUGACCUUCUAAACACAUGGUAGCCCAUUUAACUGUGUUGCUCCAAUCACACUAAUAUUUGGAUAAAUAAUAACCAUACAUGCUCAGGUCAUCUUUUGGACAGCAAAUUCUCACCAUCUGACUAUCAAGUGGCAGUUCCUUGCUAAGGGCAACAGGGUUCUUCUUGUCAUAGAAAUUACUGCAUCUGUGUAGAUCAAGAGCAGCACAGACUUGGCCGGCAGGACAUUUCCUAGCUCAGUGGUCUCAAUGUAUAUGUAACAACAGGUCACUUUUGGGAUAUUGCAAAAUCCAUUUUUUAAAAUUAAUUAUAUAAACUUUAGGGAUUUGUAUUAUGAUUUUACUAUAAAGUAUUUCAACAACUUGUACAAUUCAAAUAAAAACUCACCAUACCAUUAGAUUGCA